This 392-nucleotide ribosomal RNA is filed under the name uncultured bacterium. Its description in RNAcentral is "partial 16S ribosomal RNA". It matches the Rfam family "Bacterial small subunit ribosomal RNA", at positions 523 to 918 of the family's 1533-position model. The record is from RNAcentral.
AUACGUAGGUGGCAAGCGUUAUCCGGAAUUAUUGGGCGUAAAGAGGGAGCAGGCGGCAGCAAGGGUCUGUGGUGAAAGCCUGAAGCUUAACUUCAGUAAGCCAUAGAAACCAGGCAGCUAGCGUGCAGGAGAGGAUCGUGGAAUUCCAUGUGAAGCGGUGAAAUGCGUAGAUAUAUGGAGGAACACCAGUGGCGAAGGCGACGAUCUGGCCUGCAACUGACGCUCAGUCCCGAAAGCGUGGGGAGCAAAUAGGAUUAGAUACCCUAGUAGUCCACGCCGUAAACGAUGAGUACUAAGUGUUGGAUGUCAAAGUUCAGUGCUGCAGUUAACGCAAUAAGUACUCCGCCUGAGUAGUACGUUCGCAAGAAUGAAACUCAAAGGAAUUGGCGGGG